RNAcentral lists this unclassified non-coding RNA (410 nucleotides) under soil metagenome. RNAcentral's name for it is "partial contains 5.8S ribosomal RNA, internal transcribed spacer 2, and large subunit ribosomal RNA". The stretch from base 1 to 121 matches the Rfam family "5.8S ribosomal RNA", at positions 35 to 154 of the family's 154-position model. The record is from RNAcentral.
GAUGAAGAACGCAGCGAAAUGCGAUAAGUAGUGUGAAUUGCAGAAGUACCGUGAAUCAUCGAAUCUUUGAACGCAAAUUGCACUCUCUGGUAUUCCGGGGAGUAUGCCUGUUUGAGGGUCGCUUAACAAACCAUCGAUUUCGUUGCUUUUUUUUUAAAAAGUGAUGUUUAUCGGAUUUGAGCCGUCUUUUUUUUUUAUAUUUAAGUGGCUUAAAAUUGAUUUUUUUGGUACGAUCGAAGCGUAUUUUUAUGAUCAAUUUUUGGUUAAAGAAACGCACACGUACCGUUAUUUAUAUGAUGUAAUACGUUUGACUAUUGGAUUUAGUUCAUUCGUAUACGAUAUUUUUCAAUAUUUGACCUCAAAUCAGGUAAGAACACCCGCUGAACUUAAGCAUAUCAAUAAGCGGAGGA